AGUUAUUAAGAUGACAAUUUUGAAUCUGUCUCUAUACCACAAAGAGCAUAGCAGUGCCUAUGGAGAAGGAAAUUAGAGGAGGUGUCUGUGGGGAUUCAAGGUCACAUGUCGAUCAUUACCAAACUGAAGCAGGUAGAUGGCUUAAACUGAAGAUUGUAAUAUGUAACCCCAUCUGACCAAGUCUUUCCAUUAGGUUUGGUUGGAAGUAAUUUGGGUGAAACAAAAGGUUCAUCUUAUACAGAGAUUAAGUUUAUAGCACUCAGCCACAAAAACUUUGUGCAAAGAUGAGCAAAAAUAAUGACUUGAUUUCAAAUGAACCAGUAGGAAGUUACAAGUUCAUUUGGUUGCAAAUGCAUAAGAUUAACAGGUAUGGGCAUAGAGAUCCAAAUUCAUCAAGUGGUACAGCAAAGAUAGAGCAAGUUAAGAUCAGCAUAUGGUUUCUCGGGCUUAAGCAAAAGGUUCUUUCUAGGUCAAUAUACUACAUUGUGCACUCCUAAAGUCCUAAUCUGCAGAGGUGGGACAAGAUGAAUAUCAGAAUAUCUUUAUUUACUACAUUGUAAUUUACUGUAUAAAAGUAUUUUACUAUUUUUGAAUCAAUUUAUUUUUUAACC
Fragaria vesca subsp. vesca is the source of this 611-nucleotide RNA transcript. RefSeq lists it as uncharacterized. Lineage: Eukaryota; Viridiplantae; Streptophyta; Magnoliopsida; Rosales; Rosaceae. The transcript has 3 exons. The record is from RefSeq and is a predicted model, not a curated record.